Molecule: long non-coding RNA, 683 nt
Filed under: Takifugu rubripes (torafugu)
Lineage: Eukaryota; Metazoa; Chordata; Actinopteri; Tetraodontiformes; Tetraodontidae
Description: lncRNA (ENSTRUG00000028368.1)
Source: RNAcentral
AACGUUUGUUAGCCUAUGGUGGAAAGCUGGAUCACAGCUUUGUCGGAGGUGGCGACAAUGUUUGUAAAAUAGCCAAGUAUGUGAGAGGUCUGACUGGGAUGUGAGCAGGGAUGUUAACCUCUACUUGACCCCAUAAGAAGAGGAUUUGGACUUUAAGUGAGGAAUCUAUAUGAAAGUGUUAAUUCACUUUAAGUGGCCAAUUAGUCAGUCAGUGGAUCCACCCUGGACAUCUCCCUCUACAGUGGGGUUGGUCUGGGUUUCAGGUGGAUGUAUUGAGAAGUGGAGCAUCUAACCUCAGAAGGAGGGGCACCUUGGACCAGAGUGUAUAUUAGACCCUCACCGUUGGGGCAGGAGACCCACUCCUCAUCGACUGUUUUGCCCUUCUGCUGUCUGAGCACCUCUGGCUGCUGCUUCCCUCUCCCAGGUCCAGGAUGCUGGGACGGCUGUUUCUGCAGAGUGUGGUCAUGGUUUGGCUGGCACACACAGCACACACAUGGGGUUAUGGUGCCACAACUGGGGUCUCAAAUGGGCCAGCUAAUGGUAAGCUCUUCAGCUUUUAUUCAAACAACAAAAGUUACUGAUGAAACCCUCACUUUUGUUCAGGUGCUGUUAUUUUUAUAUCGUUAUCAUUUUAGGAGAUACAUUUCAAAAAGGUGGAGGUCUUGGAAGCAUGUUGAUGCCAU